GGGUGAGUAACACGUGGGUAACCUGCCUUAUGGAGGGGGAUAACAGAGAGAAAUCACUGCUAAUACCGCAUAAGCACACAGUACCGCAUGGUACAGGGUGAAAAGAUUUAUCGCUUAUAGAUGGGCUUGCGUCUGAUUAGCUAGUUGGUGAGAUAACAGCUCACCAAGGCGACGAUCAGUAGCCGGAUUGAGAGGUUGAACGGCCACAUUGGGACUGAGACACGGCCCAGACUCCUACGGGAGGCAGCAGUCGGGAAUAUUGCACAAUGGAGGAAACUCUGAUGCAGUGACACCGCGUAUAGGAAGAAGGUCUUAGGAUUGUAAGCUAUUGUCGUGUGAGAAGAAAAUGACCAUCACAGGAGGAAGCCCUGGCUAAAUAUGUGCCAGCAGCCGCGGUAAUACAUAUGGGGCGAGCGUUAUCCGGAUUUAUUGGGUGUAAAGGGUGCGUAGGCGGGAAAAUAAGUCAGUAUGUGAAAUCCCUCGGCUCAACUGAGGAACUGCAACUGAAACUAUUUUUCUUGAGUGUUGAAGGGGAAAGUGGAAUUCCUAGUGUAGCGGUGACAUGCGUAGAGAUUAGGAGGAACACCAGUGGCGAAGGCGACUUUCUGGGCAACAACUGACGCUGAGGCACGAAAGUGUGGGGAGCAAACAGGAUUAGAUACCCUGGUAGUCCACACCGUAAACGAUGGAUACUAGGAGUUGGCAAAAAUAUUGUCGGUUCCGCAGU
This 727-nucleotide ribosomal RNA is filed under the name uncultured low G+C Gram-positive bacterium. RNAcentral describes it as "bacterial SSU rRNA". It matches the Rfam family "Bacterial small subunit ribosomal RNA", at positions 104 to 852 of the family's 1533-position model. Lineage: Bacteria; Bacillati; Bacillota. The record is from RNAcentral.